This 5387-nucleotide long non-coding RNA is filed under the name Sus scrofa (pig). Its description in RNAcentral is "lncRNA (ENSSSCG00065022197.1)". Lineage: Eukaryota; Metazoa; Chordata; Mammalia; Artiodactyla; Suidae. The record is from RNAcentral.
CACAACAUAUGGAGUUCCCAGGGCCAGGGAUCAGAUCUGAGCCAUAGCUGCAACUGCAGCUAUGAUGGGAAUGGUGGAUCCUUAACCCACUGUUCCAGGUAGGGGGAUGGAACCUGUGUCCCAGCGCUCCCAAGAUGCCGCCAAUCCCUCUGCCCCACAGCGGGAACUCCACCACUUUGUUUUGUUGUAAGGAUUAGUGAGGUAUGGUGAGUGCAUGGUCAGGACAAAAUAACCUCAACUCAAGUAGAAUCUAUGUGCUCUGAGAAGAAAAUCCAGGCGAGAUGGAGAAAAGAUUAGCCCACCGCCCCACUUCUCGAAAAUACCUGUUCUGGAGAGCAAAGUCCUUCCUUCCUAUACACCAGCCUCUUCCUGGGGCAGAGCCAUGGCAAGGGGCAUCUCCCAGCCUCCCCACCCUGGAGAGGGCACCCCUCAGUCCCAGAAAUGAGCUAUGAUUACCCCGUCGCAGUGAGACAGGGUGGGGGUGUGGGGUGGGGCAAGGGUUAUGACUGGCAGUCUCCCCAUGACAAGGCUGGAGUGUGGACCAAAGUGGUUUCUUUUUUUUUUUUUUUUUAAGUUUUUUUUUUUUUUUUUUUUUUUUUUUUUUUUUGCCUUUUCUUGGGCCGCUCUGCGGCAUAUGGAGGAGGUAAACAGCCACCACGGAACCAAGCAAUAUUUUCUUAAGGCACAUCUCUCAAAGGAGUCCAUGUGGCGAAGGGCUAGUUUCAGCACACCGAACAUUCGGGUGGGGAAAAGAAACACAAUCAAUACUCUGCAAGGAAUGUGAAAAUUACAUAAAAACUAUGACCCACCACCUCAGAGUGAAAGCCUAGAGGUGACGAUAUCCUCUCUCUGGUGGAGACAAAGUAGAAUCAGCUGCUUUGAUGGAUGUCUAAGCCCAUCAGGAAACAGUGUCAAUUUCCCAGGAAGAAUAGAUAGAAGCCUUCCAGCGUAUCUAGGAUUUCAGGCAGCAGGAUCUGCUCUCAACUUAGGAUGUUUAACCUUCACAAAGCUUAAGAGAGCCGCCGUCCUUGAGAAAUAUUAACAUAAUUAUAACCUAAAAGUUUCAGGUGCUCAGAAGGGCUGCCCCAGAGAUGACUCUAUUAUAAAAGAAAGGUUGUGAAGCGUAGAAAUCUUGUUCCAUCCCAUCUUGGGAAAACUGCAAAGGAGGCAGUGCCCUUUUGCUGCUCUCCAUCUCACUCACCAGAGUAACUUACAAGUACUUAAGUACUUGUGUAACUUAAGUACUUAAGCAACUUACAAGUACUUAAGUACUUGGGUCUCCCCUACCCCGUCCAGGCCGACACCACUGUGCUUCCCAUUUUACAGGUAAGGAAGGUGAGUCUCAGGGAGGUCAGGUCAUAUGCUAACCUGGCAGGAGACGGUGAGCCCAGUUUCACACCAAGACCUUCAGAUGUCAAUGCCUCUCUUUUUUUUUUUUUGGCUUUUUAGGGCCGCACCUGCAGCAUAUGGAAGUUCCCAGGCUAGGGGUCCAAUCGGAGCUAUAGCUGCCAGCCUACACCACAACCACAGCAACUCGGGAUCUGAGUUGCAUCUUCAACCUACACCACAGUUCACAGCAAUGCUGGAUCCUUAACCCACUGAGCGGGGCUGGGGAUCAAACCUGAGUCCUCGUGGAUACUAGUCUGGUUCCUUACUUCUGAGCCACAACAGGAACUCUUCAAAGCCCUUCUAUUAAUGGCUCUACUGCAUACUGCAAUCACCAACCACUUAGGAAAUCCCUUGGGGUUUUUUGGUUUGCUUUUUGUUUUUUUCAUGAUCAAACCCACAGCAUAUGGAAGUUCCCUGGCCAGGGAUUGAAUCCGAACCACAGAUGUGACCUACACCACAGCUGCAGCGACAGGCCAGGGAUGGAACCCAAGCCUCCGUAGUGAGCCAAGCCACUAUAGUUGGAUUCUUAGCCCACUGUGCCACAGCAGGAACUCCUCAAAUCCCCGGUUUUUAAGUAAGGUCUCUAAGUCUAUUCGCAAGCGAACGCUCUUAGGUAAUAGAACUCCAGCUACAGACCUCACCUACAAAUGCCUCACAACUAUUUCCAAAAACAAUAGCUAAUUUGAAGAAACUCAGAUAAAUUCAUUGGCUGGUGAAACUGCAGUGAAAACAGCCAGCCAGCCAUCUCUUACAGCCCUGAAUUCCAGGGCCUUCCUAAAGGUCUGAAGUCAAAGAGGCUGGGUUCAGACAGGCUCCACCAGCUACAGGGACCUUAGGUAAGCCGCCAACCUCACAGUCCUCAUCUUAAAAGGGAGAGAAAAACAGCAAGAAAGAAAUUCUAUUGCAUUGGCUUAUGUGGAAAAUUAAUAGUAAUAUCAUACAUGAAAUAAUUUGGUAAGCUGCAAAGCCCUAUACAAAUGGUGGAUUAAUUAUAAUUAUUUUGACUCAACCAUUUGGCUGGGAUCUUACAGAGAAUGUGAAGCAUCAGAUGAGUUUUUUAAAAAUGAGAUGCACAAUGGCACACUGAUCAAGGACAAAGCCCUGGACUCAGGAUACCUAAGUCCCAGCUCUCCCGCUUAAUUUGCUGUGUGAUCUAGAGCAGGUUACUUACCUUCUCUGUACCUCAGUUUUCUUAUCUGGAAAAUGGAGAUGAUAAUUUGUGCCUACCUCACAGGGUUGCCCUGAAAACCAUGCAAGGUAAAAUACUUAAAGAACUUAAAACAUUUCUUGGCACACAGGAUGCCUGAGGUGCAUUGUUAUACUAUUAUGAUUUUCCUCAAGCAGGCAAAAGGUGGACUUUUGGAGCCUUAACUACAAAACAAAAGUGCUGCAGCAGAGGGCAUAAGACACACUAUACCUUUGACAAGCAGCCCCAAAAUGUACUGUAUUUUUUCUCUGGGGCACGCUUUUGGAGAGAACAAUAAGUCAUCAGGCUCUCAGCAAAACCCUGUUUCUUCCUCUCUCCCUUUCCCCUUCAUAUGCAAAAAACAUGAGCCCUCUUCUUCAUUACUCUCCCAGCCCCAAAGACCAGCCUCACCCCGGGGGGGAAGGCCCUGUGAGAGAACCCAGGACAGCCUGGGCUAGUCCCUGGGGACCAGGGCAGCUGCAGAAUGUCCAGCUCCUCUCCUCCACUCUCCGUCUUGGUCCUUCCCAUCCUUCGAGGCUCCCAUCGCAUCCCACUUCCUCCCGAAAGAUGCCUCCUUUCUGGGCAUCCUGCAUCUGUAAUUGCCAACUCUGAGCUCACUGGCUGUAGAAUUACUUCACAAGUGCCUAUUUUACGGCCCCUAAACGGUACACCCCUCGAGGGCUUGUCAUAGUUCUUCCAGAUUCCCCACAGUGCUUAGCAUGGUGCUCCAGACACUGACACCGUUUGUGUUCCAUAAAUAAUCGGGGAAGGGGUUUAAUUCACUGGAAGGAGCCCAGAAUCCCUGCAAAGUGGUCAGAUGCAAACUAGGUCUAUGCCUCGACGCCUCCUCCCCAAGCCCAGGGCGAUGCUGCUCUCAGAUUGCAGCAUUCCCUCCCAGAGACCCUCUAAGAAACCUCAGAAUCCUUGUCAACACGGCACCGCGGGCAGCCCACACCAAGUGACAGGAAAGAUGAACCCUUUUUGCCAUCUCCGCUUCCGAGGCACUCCCUUCACUGAGCCUCUGCAGCACUGGGACUGAACCACUGUGAUGGUAACUACCACACUCUAAUGUACAGAGCUGUUGGCUUGUCUGCCUCCACUAGACCAGAGGCUUUCAAACGUUUGAUCAUGAGAGCCCAAUCAUAACCCAGAUUAGCAUAGAUCAUACCGAAGCUAUCGUUCCCCCAGACAAUAGGUACCUGAUUAACGUGAUGCCUUCUGCUAUCUCCCAUUAUAUUCUAUCCAAAAAUACUGAUUCAGACCCACAAAAUUCAUCUCAUGGUGCACUACGUUGACAACUAUUUCAAUAUGAUGUAGAGAUAGAUAAACAGACAUAGAAUGUUACAUAAUAAAUAAUGUUAGCUAAGGUAACAUUAGCAGCUGUAACUGACAAAUCCUGAAAUCUCCAUCUUCUCCACCGUAGAAGUGUGUUUAUUGCUCACAUAAAACCUAAACGAGUGUGGACUGGCAGGUAGAUUCUCCUGGGCAGUCACUGGUGGGUUUAAGGCUGUUUCCAUCUUGUGGUAUCUUCAACCCAUGACUUCGAGGGUUUCCUUGUUCAGGAUCAGAGCAACCCUGCCUGAGAAGUCUUCUCAUGGGUCAAGCGUACAAGGGACACUCAUUGCUUUCCUGCUUUCCAUCUCAUUCCAUUGGCUAAUGUUUAGUCCCAUGGCCUCACUUGACUGCAAGGGACCUGGGAAUUGCAGUCCAGCCAUGUGCCCCCGAAGAAAGAGAGAGACAGAUCUGAUGAUCGGCCCGCCAUCUCUGCCAGAGACCUGCCAUUUAAAAAACCCUCCAAGGAAAGGACCCGGAUGUGUUCGCAUUUUUAUCUCUAGUGACUUGCAAAAUACUUGGCUCAGCGUAAGUGCAUAGAAAAUGUAUGAUCAGAGAAUGAAUGGGGGACAUGGUAGACCCUGGCCAGAGUUCCAGAAGUGUUAUGGUUUAUGGUUAAGCUUCAUGACUCUCUCCAAAUUCACACGCAUGCAAACCCCCUUCCCUGCCCAAAGCACAGCUGAAUCCCCAAAUCGAGAUGACAGCAGGUGGGGAAGAUUCUGGAGAAACUGUCUUCAUGUCUUCCCUCUAUUUGGGGGCUGCACAACCGCUUACUCUUCCUACUACCACAUGCCCACUGAAAAGGAGCACAGAAGAACCACCAAGAACACCCAGGCUUUUGAGGCAGAUGGAUCCUGUCGGGACCUCUCUCUGGCUACAGAACUACAGCUGAGCGCUUACUAUGUGUGCAGCGCGAUCCUGAACACCUCCCAUCCAUUAGCUCGUUGCAUCCUCACCAUAAGCCGCUGAUGGACAGUGAUUUCCCCCUCCGACCCUCCAGUUCCCUCAGUGAGAGUGAAUGUCUUCUACCCGCUGCGUCCCCAAAGUGCUUUGUUCAUGACCCUUUCCAACAAUUCACUCAGGAGGGAGCUGGUUGGCAUGUGGAGCUACACCCCUAUUCAUCUGGUCUCUCCAAUUGCACUUCAAGGAUAGUGGAAACAGCAUAUACGUGAGAGUCAUAAUACCUAGAUUCAGAUGCCAGACCCAACCGAACAGGCGUGUGUGAUGGGCUGAGAUACUUACCUCCUCUGAGCCUCAAUUUCCUUAUCUGAGACAUGGGGUCAGAAGUCCCACCUUAAAGGGAUGCUGGGACAUAUAAACCUCAUAUCUCUAAAGACCUCUGCCUGACACAAAGUGGGUUCUUUACAAAGUAAGAACGUUCCCCCCCCCACCCCGACCCAUCUCUUCCUGGAGGGCAUCGGUAAUGUUUUAUUCCUAGGCAUUAACACCAUACCUUGCACGUAAUAAAUAAAUAAUAGAU